Molecule: ribosomal RNA, 487 nt
Filed under: uncultured Sphingobacterium sp.
Lineage: Bacteria; Pseudomonadati; Bacteroidota; Sphingobacteriia; Sphingobacteriales; Sphingobacteriaceae
Description: partial 16S ribosomal RNA
Source: RNAcentral
CACGGAGUUAGCCGAUCCUUAUUCUUCCAGUACAUUCAGCUAAAUACACGUAUUUAGGUUUAUUCCUGGACAAAAGCAGUUUACAACCCAUAGGGCAGUCAUCCUGCACGCGGCAUGGCUGGUUCAGGCUUCCGCCCAUUGACCAAUAUUCCUUACUGCUGCCUCCCGUAGGAGUCUGGUCCGUGUCUCAGUACCAGUGUGGGGGAUUCUCCUCUCAGAGCCCCUAGACAUCGUCGCCUUGGUAAGCCGUUACCCUACCAACUAGCUAAUGUCACGCGAGCCCAUCUCUAUCCUAUAAAUAUUUAAUCAACCGAACAUGCGAACUGUUGAUGUUAUGCGGUGUUAAUCUCUCUUUCGAGAGGCUAUCCCCCUGAUAGAGGUAGGUUGCUCACGCGUUACGCACCCGUGCGCCACUCUCACCAUCUUCGAGCAAGCUCUCCGAUGGAUCCCGUCCGACUUGCAUGUAUUAGGCCUGCCGCUAGCGUUC